Molecule: ribosomal RNA, 496 nt
Filed under: uncultured bacterium
Lineage: Bacteria
Description: partial 16S ribosomal RNA
Rfam family: Bacterial small subunit ribosomal RNA
Source: RNAcentral
AUGAACGCUGGCGGCGUGCCUAAUACCUGCCAGUCGAGCGAGCGGACGAGAAGCUUGCUUCUCUGAUGUUAGCGGCGGACGGGUGAGUAACACGUGGAUAACCUACCUAUAAGACUGGGAUAACUUCGGGAAACCGUAGCUAAUACCGGAUAAUAUUUUGAACCGCAUGGUUCAAAAGUGAAAGACGGUCUUGCUGUCACUUAUAGAUGGAUCCGCGCUGCAUUAGCUAGUUGGUAAGGUAACGGCUUACCAAGGCAACGAUGCAUAGCCGACCUGAGAGGGUGAUCGGCCACACUGGAACUGAGACACGGUCCAGACUCCUACGGGAGGCAGCAGUAGGGAAUCUUCCGCAAUGGGCGAAAGCCUGACGGAGCAACGCCGCGUGAGUGAUGAAGGUCUUCGGAUCGUAAAACUCUGUUAUUAGGGAAGAACAUAUGUGUAAGUAACUGUGCACAUCUUGACGGUACCUAAUCAGAAAGCCACGGCUAACUACGUG